UACGAAGGGGGCUAGCGUUGCUCGGAUUUACUGGGCGUAAAGGGCGCGUAGGCGGACAGUUUAGUCAGAGGUGAAAGCCCAGGGCUCAACCUUGGAAUUGCCUUUGAUACUGGCUGUCUUGAGUACGGGAGAGGCGAGUGGAACUCCGAGUGUAGAGGUGAAAUUCGUAGAUAUUCGGAAGAACACCAGUGGCGAAGGCGACUCACUGGCCCGUUACUGACGCUGAGGCGCGAAAGCGUGGGGAGCAAACAGG
Molecule: ribosomal RNA, 253 nt
Filed under: uncultured bacterium
Lineage: Bacteria
Description: partial 16S ribosomal RNA
Rfam family: Bacterial small subunit ribosomal RNA
Source: RNAcentral